This 1357-nucleotide long non-coding RNA is filed under the name Carassius auratus (goldfish). RNAcentral describes it as "lncRNA (ENSCARG00000011425.1)". The record is from RNAcentral. Lineage: Eukaryota; Metazoa; Chordata; Actinopteri; Cypriniformes; Cyprinidae.
CUUAAUCUGUUGUCACUUCAUUCAAAAUCGUUUUUAAAGAGUCCUACAUGAGUUAAAAACAUCACGAUCCAUCGAAAUAUGCUUCAGAGUUUCUGCUAAUUUGGGGGUUAAACAUGACUUUGACGUGUUCCUGACAGGUUUUGUGUCAUUCUGCUUCACUCUUGAGGCUUUUGUUUAGUAAAUACAUUGACAUUCAUAUAUUAAAAUCUCACCAGGACAGGGUUUGAGUCUAAUGGUCUUCUGUGCGUGACUGACGUGGUUCUUCACGCUGCAGCUGAUGUUUCCCUCAGUUCCUUCAUCCAGAUCAAUGCUGCUGUUUCCAUCCUUCAGUGGAUCUCCAUUCAGAGUCCAGCUGUAGAGGAGCUGAUCUCCAUCAGAGGAGCAGAACACCCUCAUCACCCCACUGGAGGAGCAGUUAACUGACACAUUCACUGAGCCAAUAGGAGCUGGAGGGAGGGACACAUCACAGUCACAUGACUAUUUCUUGAUAUUAUGUAAAUGAGUCAGUCAAAACAUUUCUAAACUAAAUUUAUAUCUGAUAUGAUAGUGUAAGUCAGUCAUGUGACAACAAUGAAGCAAAUAACUGUCUGAAAUGCUUUCACGUCAUUUUUUAAAAGCAGUAUGCAGUACACAGUUAGCAACACGCUGGUAUUUCAUUCUUAAAAUAGUCUCAGACUCAGUGUAAAGAAAGAGAAGAUGCUGCUGAGUGAAUUCUUCCAGAUAUUUAAUAAUGAACUGCAAUAAAAACCUUCACAGAGAUUCAUCUGAUUCAUUUGCAUGAGAGAGAGAUCUUUGGAGAACAUGAGAUUGUAAUGAGUCUGAUGAGAGAGUUUCUGUACCUUCAACAAUCACUUGAAGAUCUCGAGAUGUUUCUGUGCCGUCUGAGCUCUCGAGUGUUAAUCUGUAAUUCCCUGAAUCUGUUCUGAUCACACGGUUUAUUAUCACAGACCCAUUAAUGACUGUCACUUCAGGUCUGUUAUUAUAAAGAUCACAUUCAGUCUCCCUCAUCCUGCCAUUCUUUACUCUACAAACUGGAUCAUCUGCUGUGUUGUUGUUUAUUCUCUUUUUUAUCGUCAGAUCAUAUUUACUAGCGUCCUGCACCAUCAUCAGAUUGAGUUUGUGUCCCAGAGCUGUGUAACAGGGAUCAGACUGAUCAAACCUGCAGAACCGAUCCAGACCUGAAGAACAAAACACACAAAUGUUCCAACAUUUAAGGACAUCAUGAAUUAAAAUCAGACACAAAUUACACAAACAUUGACAGAAUUAAAGUUCAUCUGAAGAAACACAUCAGACAGACUCUUGAUCUGAUCUCAGUUCAUCUCAAUAAUGCUCAUUGUCAGAACCAUUUCAUCUCUAC